GGCGGGGUCUCCAACCUGCCGCUCAGGUUCCUCCGGGCCCCGCCCGGCCCGGCCCGCUGAGCCCGGACGCCGCCCGGCCAGGCGCCGACAGACGGCGGACGGAAGGACGGAAGGACGGCCGUGGGGCCCAGGGCGACAGAGCAGGUGUGGGCACUAGGCCCCGGACUCAGGCCUCACUGAGGUCUGCCCUGCAUUGCCAGCCACCACCAGGGACACCAUGAGCCAGUCGGGGUCCGUGAGCUGCUACCCGGGUGCUGCCAACGGCAGCCUGGGCCAGUCUGACAGUGUGUCCAAGAUGAGUGCCAAGGACCUGUUUGAGCAGAGAAAGAAGUACUCCAACUCGAAUAUCAUCAUGCACGAGACAUCCCAGUAUCACGUCCAGCACUUGGCCACAUUCAUCAUGGACAAGAGUGAAGCCAUCGUGUCUGUGGAUGACGCUAUCCGGAAGCUGGUGCAGCUGAGCUCCAAGGAGAAGGUCUGGAUGCAGGAGAUGCUGCUGCAGGUCAGCGACCAGUCCCUGCGACUGCUGGACGUGGAGUCCCAGGAGGAGCUGGAGAACUUCCCACUGCCCACCGUGCGGCACAGCCAGACGGUGCUGAACCAGCUGCGCUACCCGUCGGUGCUGCUGCUCGUGUGCCAGGACUCCGAGCAGAGCAAGCCCGACAUCCACUUCUUCUACUGCGACGAGGUGGAGGCGGAGCUGGUGCAUGAGGACAUCGAGAGCGCGCUGGCCGACUGCCGGCUGGGGAAGAAGAUGCGGCCUCAGACCCUGAAGGGCCACCAGGAGAAGAUCCGGCAACGGCAGUCAGUCCUGCCACCUCCCAUGGGCCCGGCCCCCAUCCCCUUCCAGCACCUGGGCGGGGGCUCCCCCUCCAGGAACCGAGUGGGCCCACCUGUGCCGCUCAGCGAGCCAGGCUUCCGCCGCCGGGAGUCGCAGGACGAGGAGCCGCGGGCCGUGUUGGCUCAGAAGAUAGAGAAGGAAACGCAAGUCCUCAACUGUGCCCUGGACGACAUCGAGUGGUUCGUGGCUCGGCUGCAGAAGGCGGCUGAGGCUUUCAAGCAGCUGAAACAGCGCAAGAAGGGGAAGAAGAAGGGGAAGAAAGGACCUGCGGAGGGCGUCCUCACACUGCGGGCGCGGCCCCCUUCCGAGGCUGAGUUUGUUGACUGCUUCCAGAAAAUCAAGCUAGCCAUCAACCUGCUGGCCAAGCUGCAGAGGCACAUCCAGAACCCCAGCGCGGCUGAGCUCGUGCACUUCCUCUUCGGGCCUCUGGACCUGAUUGUCAGCACCUGUGGUGGUCCAGACAUUGCACGCUCAGUGUCCAGUCCCCUACUGUCCCAAGAUGCUGUGGGCUUCCUGCGUGGCCACCUAGUCCCCAAGGAAACGGCCCUGUGGGAGUCGCUGGGGGAGACCUGGACACGCCCCCGCUCCGAGUGGCCACAGGAGCCGCAGGUGCCCCUCUAUGUGCCCACGUUCCACAACGGCUGGGAGCCACCCAUGGACGUGCUGCAGGAGGCUCCCUGGGAAGUGGAGGGGCAGGUGUCCACCCCUGAGGAUGAGCCAACUCCAGUGAGCCGACCAUCUUUUCGAAACUCCAUGAAGCACAGCCUUGUGUCUGAGCCCACACCCCCCGGGGAUGUCUCACCAGGCAGCUCCCCACAUGCUCACAGGGGCUACGAGUCCGUGCCCACCAUGGCCAAGUACGUGAAGAUCCUCUACGACUUCACAGCCCGCAACGCCAGCGAGCUGUCGGUGCUCAGGGACGAGGUCCUGGAGGUGCUCGAGGAUGGUCGCCAGUGGUGGAAGCUUCGCAAUCGCAGUGGCCAGGCAGGCUAUGUGCCCUGCAACAUCCUGGAUGAGGUCCAGCCAGAGGACGCCCACCUGGAGCAGGGGACAGAAAGUGGAGCGGGCCGCGGAGGGCGGUGGAGGUGGUCUGUAUGCACAAGUAGGCUACAUCGAAUGACCAGCCGGGGCUGGGGGUGCCCCCACCCUCUUGCCUCUCCCCCCACCCCUGCAGGCCAGCCAGAAAUACUGGGGUGCCGCCAGUCCCACCCACAAGCUGCCCCCAAGCUUCGCAGGGGGCAAGGACGAGCUGAUCCAGCACAUGGACGAGGUCAACGACGAGCUCGUCAGGAUCAUCAGCCACAUCAAGACGCAGCCACCCCAGCGGCACUUCCGCGUGGAGCGCAGCCAGCCGGUGCGCCAGCCGCUCACGUACGAGUCGGGCCCCGAAGAGGUCCGCGCCUGGCUGGAAGCCAAGGCCUUCAGCCCCCGCAUCGUGGAGAACCUGGGCAUCCUGACUGGGCCCCAGCUCUUCUCGCUCAACAAGGAGGAGCUGAAGAAGGUGUGCGGUGAGGACGGCGUCCGCGUGUACAGCCAGCUCACCGUGCAGAAGGCCUUCCUGGAGACGCAGCAAGGUGGAUCAGAGCUGGAGGAGCUUAUGAGCAGGUUUCACUCCAAGAACCAGAGGAGGGUAGAGGAAGACAGCUAGACCUGGCCCUGGGGCACCACGCCUGCAGCCCGGUCGCACCCGUGCCGGGGCCACCCCCCACUGCAAGGGCCAUUAUUCUCUAUGUGGAUGUACUUGGCAUCGUGGACACCAAAGGAGUUUGGGGUAGGCUGGGGGCCUGUUCUGAAGUUCAGCAAUGCCUCUGCCUCCACCUGCCCCUAGGCCCACCUCAGCCAAACUUGCCACCUGGGGGGACCAGCCCCUCAUCCUCCUGCCCCUGUGGCCAGAGUCGUGGCUGUCCCCAAACCCGCCCAGCCCCUUUCUUCCUCUAACAACCCCUCCCUGAGGCCACAGAGCCUUCUCCUCUGGCGUCGCCACCCACACGGGGGUUCCAUCUGGUGCCUGUGACCCUGGCCCCUAUCCCUGCCCCCUGCAGCUGCUCACCACUGCUCCCCCUGACCCCCUACUCCUCCAGGCCAGGACAGCGGACCUCAGCACCCAGCCACUCUGGGCUCCAAGCUGGCCGGGCUGGUGACCCGAGCCCCCAGAUAUUGGGGUUACCCCUAUCCACUGCACUGCUCCCUAGGGGUGGCCUGGAGGGUUCCCAGCUCCACUGGGGUGCAUGCUAUAUUCCCUUCACUCAUCAAGGAGCCAGGAUGGACUCAGUCACCCUCACCCGAGAACUGGCCGUGGACACCCUCCCCCACUCCCAUCCCUCUCCCCUCGGCAGAGCCCAAGAAAAGAACUUUCUCUGACCCGUUCUCAGGCCAGGCUUGCCCUGCAUGCUGUGUGGGUGGUGGGUGAAUCUGGAGCCCUGGACUCUGCAGGUCACACCCCAAGAUGAGUGGUGAUGGAGGCUCAGAGGCUGUGUCAUUAAACCAAUUAAGUCCAAUAGCA
Manis pentadactyla (Chinese pangolin) is the source of this 3344-nucleotide RNA transcript. It is a transcript of the gene named EPS8 like 2, with no coding region annotated. NCBI's taxonomy places the organism in Eukaryota, Metazoa, Chordata, Mammalia, Pholidota, Manidae. The record is from RefSeq and is a predicted model, not a curated record. The transcript has 21 exons.